RNAcentral lists this ribosomal RNA (451 nucleotides) under uncultured bacterium. Its description in RNAcentral is "bacterial SSU rRNA". It matches the Rfam family "Bacterial small subunit ribosomal RNA", at positions 354 to 796 of the family's 1533-position model. The record is from RNAcentral.
GUAGGGAAUUUUGCACAAUGGGCGCAAGCCUGAUGCAGCAACGCCGCGUGAGUGAAGAAGGCCUUUGGGUUGUAAAGCUCUUUCGGCUGGGAAGAAGGGUUUGCUUGCGAAUAGUCUGCAGAUCUGACGGUACCAGAAGAAGAAGCACCUGCUAACUUCGUGCCAGCAGCAGCGGUAAUACGAAGGGUGCAAGCGUUGUUCGGAAUUACUGGGCGUAAAGCGCGCGUAGGCGGGCUGGCAAGUCGAUUGUGAAAUACCUGGGCUUAACCUGGGAACUGCAGUCGAAACUGCCGGUCUUGAGUGCCUGAGAGGAUGGCGGAAUUCCCGGUGUAGUAGUGAAAUACGUAGAUAUCGGGAAGAACACCUGAGGCGAAGGCGGCUAUCUGGCGGUGCACUGACGCUGAGGCGCGAAAGCGUGGGGAGCAAACAGGAUUAGAAACCCUGGUAGUCC